GGAGUUAGCCGGUGCUUCUUCUGUGAGUGAUGUCCUUCCUGCCGGUUAUUGACCCGCAGGCCUUCUUCCUCACUGAAAGUGCUUUACAACCCGAAGGCCUUCUUCACACACGCGGCAUGGCUGGAUCAGGGUUGCCCCCAUUGUCCAAUAUUCCCCACUGCUGCCUCCCGUAGGAGUCUGGGCCGUGUCUCAGUCCCAGUGUGGCUGAUCAUCCUCUCAGACCAGCUACGGAUCGUCGCCUUGGUGAGCCGUUACCUCACCAACCAGCUAAUCCGACAUAGGCUCAUCCGAUAGCGCGAGGCCCGAAGGUCCCCCGCUUUCCCCCGUAGGGCGUAUGCGGUAUUAGCCUGGGUUUCCCCCAGGUUAUCCCCCACUACCGGGCAGAUUCCUAUGCAUUACUCACCCGUCCGCCGCUCGCCACCAGGGAGCAAGCUCCCCGUGCUGCCGCUCGACUUGCAUGUGUUAGGCCUGCCGCCAGCGUUCAAUCUGAGCAGANACGAACCUCGA
This 507-nucleotide ribosomal RNA is filed under the name uncultured bacterium. RNAcentral describes it as "partial 16S ribosomal RNA". The record is from RNAcentral.